This 492-nucleotide ribosomal RNA is filed under the name uncultured bacterium. Its description in RNAcentral is "partial 16S ribosomal RNA". It matches the Rfam family "Bacterial small subunit ribosomal RNA", at positions 28 to 507 of the family's 1533-position model. The record is from RNAcentral.
GAUGAACGCUAGCUACAGGCUUAACACAUGCAAGUCGAGGGGAAACGACAUCGAAAGCUUGCUUUUGAUGGGCGUCGACCGGCGCACGGGUGAGUAACGCGUAUCCAACCUGCCCAUCACUUGGGAAUAACCUUGCGAAAGUAAGACUAAUACCCAAUGACAUCCCACGAAGACAUCUGAAUGGGAUUAAAGAUUUAUCGGUGAUGGAUGGGGAUGCGUCUGAUUAGCUUGUUGGCGGGGUAACGGCCCACCAAGGCAACGACCAGUAGGGGUUCUGAGAGGAAGGUCCCCCACAUUGGAACUGAGACACGGUCCAAACUCCUACGGGAGGCAGCAGUGAGGAAUAUUGGUCAAUGGGCGAGAGCCUGAACCAGCCAAGUAGCGUGCAGGAUGACGGCCCUAUGGGUUGUAAACUGCUUUUAUAAGGGAAUAAAGUGGGUCUCGUGAGACUUUUUGCAUGUACCUUAUGAAUAAGGACCGGCUAAUUCCGUG